This 1408-nucleotide ribosomal RNA is filed under the name uncultured bacterium. RNAcentral's name for it is "bacterial SSU rRNA". It matches the Rfam family "Bacterial small subunit ribosomal RNA". The record is from RNAcentral.
AGAGUUUGAUCCUGGCUCAGGACGAACGCUGGCGGCGUGCCUAAUACAUGCAAGUAGAACGCUGAAGAGAGGAGCUUGCUCUUCUUGGAUGAGUUGCGAACGGGUGAGUAACGCGUAGGUAACCUGCCUUGUAGCGGGGGAUAACUAUUGGAAACGAUAGCUAAUACCGCAUAACAAUGGAUGACACAUGUCAUUUAUUUGAAAGGGGCAAUUGCUCCACUACAAGAUGGACCUGCGUUGUAUUAGCUAGUAGGUGAGGUAACGGCUCACCUAGGCGACGAUACAUAGCCGACCUGAGAGGGUGAUCGGCCACACCGGGACUGAGACACGGCCCAGACUCCUACGGGAGGCAGCAGUAGGGAAUCUUCGGCAAUGGGGGCAACCCUGACCGAGCAACGCCGCGUGAGUGAAGAAGGUUUUCGGAUCGUAAAGCUCUGUUGUAAGUCAAGAACGAGUGUGAGAGUGGAAAGUUCACACUGUGACGGUAGCUUACCAGAAAGGGACGGCUAACUACGUGCCAGCAGCCGCGGUAAUACGUAGGUCCCGAGCGUUGUCCGGAUUUAUUGGGCGUAAAGCGAGCGCAGGCGGUUUGAUAAGUCUGAAGUUAAAGGCUGUGGCUCAACCAUAGUUCGCUUUGGAAACUGUCAAACUUGAGUGCAGAAGGGGAGAGUGGAAUUCCAUGUGUAGCGGUGAAAUGCGUAGAUAUAUGGAGGAACACCGGUGGCGAAAGCGGCUCUCUGGUCUGUAACUGACGCUGAGGCUCGAAAGCGUGGGGAGCGAACAGGAUUAGAUACCCUGGUAGUCCACGCCGUAAACGAUGAGUGCUAGGUGUUGGAUCCUUUCCGGGAUUCAGUGCCGCAGCUAACGCAUUAAGCACUCCGCCUGGGGAGUACGACCGCAAGGUUGAAACUCAAAGGAAUUGACGGGGGCCCGCACAAGCGGUGGAGCAUGUGGUUUAAUUCGAAGCAACGCGAAGAACCUUACCAGGUCUUGACAUCCCGAUGCUAUUUCUAGAGAUAGAAAGUUACUUCGGUACAUCGGUGACAGGUGGUGCAUGGUUGUCGUCAGCUCGUGUCGUGAGAUGUUGGGUUAAGUCCCGCAACGAGCGCAACCCCUAUUGUUAGUUGCCAUCAUUCAGUUGGGCACUCUAGCGAGACUGCCGGUAAUAAACCGGAGGAAGGUGGGGAUGACGUCAAAUCAUCAUGCCCCUUAUGACCUGGGCUACACACGUGCUACAAUGGUUGGUACAACGAGUUGCGAGUCGGUGACGGCAAGCUAAUCUCUUAAAGCCAAUCUCAGUUCGGAUUGUAGGCUGCAACUCGCCUACAUGAAGUCGGAAUCGCUAGUAAUCGCGGAUCAGCACGCCGCGGUGAAUACGUUCCCGGGCCUUGUACACACCGCCCGUCAA